RNAcentral lists this ribosomal RNA (482 nucleotides) under uncultured bacterium. RNAcentral describes it as "partial 16S ribosomal RNA". It matches the Rfam family "Bacterial small subunit ribosomal RNA", at positions 28 to 507 of the family's 1533-position model. The record is from RNAcentral.
GAUGAACGCUAGCGGCAGGCCUAAUACAUGCAAGUCGGACGGGAUUCAGGAGCUUGCUUCUGAUGAGAGUGGCGCACGGGUGCGUAACACGUAUGUAACCUACCUUUAUCAGGGGGAUAGCCUCUCGAAAGAGAGAUUAAGCCCGCAUAAAAUCACAGCACAGCAUUGUGUAAUGAUCAAAUAUUUAUAGGAUAAAGAUGGGCAUGCGGAACAUUAGCUAGAUGGCGGGGUAACGGCCCACCAUGGCGACGAUGUUUAGGGGAUCUGAGAGGAUGGCCCCCCACACUGGUACGGAGACACGGACCAGACUCCUUCGGGAGGCAGCAGUAAGGAAUAUUGGUCAAUGGGCGGAAGCCUGAACCAGCCAUGCCGCGUGCAGGAAGACGGCCCUACGGGUUGUAAACUGCUUUUAUACGGGAAUAAACCCAGAUACGUGUAUCUGGCUGAAUGUACUGUAAGAAUAAGGAUCGGCUAACUCCGUG